UGAGGGAGGAGGCUCUUGGGUCGUAAACCUCUUUUCUCAGGGAAGAACACAAUGACGGUACCUGAGGAAUAAGCAUCGGCUAACUCCGUGCCAGCAGCCGCGGUAAUACGGAGGAUGCAAGCGUUAUCCGGAAUGAUUGGGCGUAAAGCGUCCGCAGGUGGCUGUGUAAGUCUGCUGUUAAAGAGUGAGGCUCAACCUCAUAAGAGCAGUGGAAACUACACGGCUAGAGUGCGUUCGGGGCAGAGGGAAUUCCUGGUGUAGCGGUGAAAUGCGUAGAGAUCAGGAAGAACACCGGUGGCGAAAGCGCUCUGCUAGGCCGCAACUGACACUGAGGGACGAAAGCUAGGGGAGCGAAUGGGAUUAGAU
RNAcentral lists this ribosomal RNA (366 nucleotides) under uncultured Komarekiella sp. RNAcentral's name for it is "bacterial SSU rRNA". It matches the Rfam family "Bacterial small subunit ribosomal RNA", at positions 401 to 783 of the family's 1533-position model. Lineage: Bacteria; Bacillati; Cyanobacteriota; Cyanophyceae; Nostocales; Nostocaceae. The record is from RNAcentral.